RNAcentral lists this transfer RNA (71 nucleotides) under Candidatus Woesebacteria bacterium RBG_13_36_22. Its description in RNAcentral is "tRNA-Thr". It matches the Rfam family "tRNA". From Rfam's summary of the family: Transfer RNA (tRNA) molecules are approximately 80 nucleotides in length. Their secondary structure includes four short double-helical elements and three loops (D, anti-codon, and T loops). Further hydrogen bonds mediate the characteristic L-shaped molecular structure. tRNAs have two regions of fundamental functional importance: the anti-codon, which is responsible for specific mRNA codon recognition, and the 3' end, to which the tRNAs corresponding amino acid is attached (by aminoacyl-tRNA synthetases). tRNAs cope with the degeneracy of the genetic code in two manners: having more than one tRNA (with a specific anti-codon) for a particular amino acid; and 'wobble' base-pairing, i.e. permitting non-standard base-pairing at the 3rd anti-codon position. Lineage: Bacteria; Candidatus Woeseibacteriota. The record is from RNAcentral.
GCCCGUGUAGCUCAAUGGCAGAGCUGAUGGUUUGUACCCAUCAGAAGGGGGUUCGAUUCCUCCUACGGGCU